Molecule: ribosomal RNA, 252 nt
Filed under: uncultured bacterium
Lineage: Bacteria
Description: partial 16S ribosomal RNA
Rfam family: Bacterial small subunit ribosomal RNA
Source: RNAcentral
GACGUAGGGUGCAAGCGUUGUCCGGAUUUAUUGGGCGUAAAGAGCUCGUAGGCGGCUUGUUGCGUCGACUGUGAAAACCCGCGGCUUAACCGCGGGCUUGCAGUUGAUACGGGCAGGCUAGAGUUCGGUAGGGGAGACUGGAAUUCCUGGUGUAGCGGUGAAAUGCGCAGAUAUCAGGAGGAACACCGGUGGCGAAGGCGGGUCUCUGGGCCGAUACUGACGCUGAUGCGCGAAAGCCAGGGAGCGAACGGG